This 115-nucleotide ribosomal RNA is filed under the name Gadus morhua (Atlantic cod). The record is from RNAcentral. Lineage: Eukaryota; Metazoa; Chordata; Actinopteri; Gadiformes; Gadidae.
GCUUACGGCCAUACCACCUUAGGCACGCGAUCUCGUCUGAUCUCGGAAGCUAAGCAGGGUCGGGCCUGGUUAGUACUUGGAUGGGUGACGCCUGGGAAUACAGGUGCUGUAAGCA